RNAcentral lists this long non-coding RNA (1361 nucleotides) under Pan troglodytes (chimpanzee). RNAcentral describes it as "long non-coding RNA NONPTRT010977". Lineage: Eukaryota; Metazoa; Chordata; Mammalia; Primates; Hominidae. The record is from RNAcentral.
CAGUGACUUGGCAGCCGGCUCUGUCUCUGAUAAAAGGGCCCAGGCAGCUCUAAAAUCCCAGGGUCCUUCUGUCAGCCCCCAGCGUCAGCACCCAUGACCUCAUCUAAGCCCUCGGGCCGGUUUCCUUCCCAGCUGGCAGCCUUGCCUGGAGCCCAGAUGGCCCAAGGCCUCUCCCAGUAAGGUCCCUCCCAAAACUGUGCUCAGUGUCAGCAUCAGUCAGGAUGCAGCGCGGACAGGAAUGGGAACUUCCGGAAGCAUCACUGUCCAUGUGUCAGUGUCUCAGAAGUGCUGAGGAAAUGAAAGUCUCACACAGAGGCCUCCCGUCAUGACAGCUCGCCUGGUCCUCUCCCCCACUGGACUGUAACCCGAGGCAGCUGAGCCCACCGCUGAGCGUGCACACAGCGUCGACCCCCGGGACGCCUGGAUGCUCUUCGUCAGGCAGAGUGACAAGGGUGUCAAUGGCAAGAAGAGGAGCAGGGGCAAGGCCAAGAAGCUGAAGGUGAGGCCGGCAUCCCGUCAGUGCCAGGCCGUGGGGGGCUCCGCCUCCUCGCUCCUCAUCCACUCCCACUCCUACAUCCUGAACAUUUCCAAUAGCACACCCCUCACGCCUCGGCCUGGGGACAGAGAACAGAGAGAAAGAACCCAGGCAGCCCCAGGGGGAGCCCCGAGUUAGGGGCCUGGUCCCAACCAUUUCCCCACACCCCUAAAAUGCCAGGCUCUCCCUCUUUUCUCCUCCCUCUGCAUCCAGGCCAGGGAGGCUGGGCUAGCCCAGGCUGUGGUGAGAACCUUGUCCACGCUGGAGGGGCCUGCAGGAGUGCCUGGCUCCCAGGGACUAGGGGCACGGGGUCCUGGUGGCUGCUGCGCUCUCACCCUCACUCAGCCUUAGGUCUUGGCCUGGGCAGAAACUUGGUGCUUGGUCCUGGUGCUGCCUCCUGCUUGGAGCCCCCAAAAUGGAAAAUACGGGGUGUGGGCUUCUCUGUCCCUUGGGGGCCAGUAUCACCUGCCUGGGAUCUGAACACACGAUGGAAGGCCAGCUCGGAGCGCAUGAGGCAGGUGCACAGGCCGCGCUGUCCUCGUGGCCUGGCCUUCUACCUCUGCCCAGCCUCCUGGCCCUGCCCUAAGCUUCUCCCCACAGGGGGCUCACUGGCUUCUGGUUCGGGUCCCAACCCAGCCUAGUGGGGACCUGCUGAUGGUGGACUGGGGCCCAGUGCAGACCCUGAGAUGCAAGUCCCCAAAAGCAGCCUAGAGUCUUCUUCCCUCCACGAGGCCUGGCCGCAGGAGCGGGCUUCAGCCCUCUGCCUCCCCACUCAGAGCAGAGUCCUUCCCUGCCAAAGCCCCGCCCCGAGGGCCCCCACCUCCAG